GAUGAACGCUGGCGGCGUGCCUAAUACAUGCAAGUCGAGCGAACAGACGCGGCGCUUGCUCCUCUGACGUUAGCGGCGGACGGGUGAGUCACACGUGGAUAACCUACCUCUACGACUUGGAUAUCUUCGGGAAACCGGAGCUCAUACCGGAUAAUAUAUUUAACCGCAUGGUUCAAUAGUGAAAGCCGUUUUUGCUGUCACUUCUAGAUGGCUCCGGGCCGCAUUAGCGAGUUGGUAAGGUAACGGCUUCCCAAGGCAACGAUGCGUAGCCGACCUGAGAGGGUGAUCGGCGACACUGGGACUGAGACACGGUCCAGACUCCGACGGGAGGCAGCGGUAGGGAAUCUACCGCGAUGGGCGGAAGCCUGACGGAGCAACGCCACGUGAAUGAUGAAGGUCUUCGGGUCGGAAAACUCUGUUAUUAGGGAAGAACAAAUGUGUAAGUAACUAUGCACGUCGUGACGGUACCUAAUCAGAAAGCCACGGCUAACUACGUG
RNAcentral lists this ribosomal RNA (497 nucleotides) under uncultured bacterium. RNAcentral's name for it is "partial 16S ribosomal RNA". It matches the Rfam family "Bacterial small subunit ribosomal RNA", at positions 28 to 507 of the family's 1533-position model. The record is from RNAcentral.